GACGAACGCUGGCGGCGUGCUUAACACAUGCAAGUCGAACGGAAAGGCCCUGCUUUUGUGGGGUGCUCGAGUGGCGAACGGGUGAGUAACACGUGAGUAACCUGCCCUUGACUUUGGGAUAACUUCAGGAAACUGGGGCUAAUACCGGAUAGGAGCUCCUGCUGCAUGGUGAGGGUUGGAAAGUUUCGGCGGUUGGGGAUGGACUCGCGGCCUAUCAGCUUGUUGGUGGGGUAGUGGCUUACCAAGGCUUUGACGGGUAGCCGGCCUGAGAGGGUGACCGGCCACAUUGGGACUGAGAUACGGCCCAGACUCCUACGGGAGGCAGCAGUGGGGAAUAUUGCACAAUGGGCGGAAGCCUGAUGCAGCAACGCCGCGUGCGGGAUGACGGCCUUCGGGUUGUAAACCGCUUUCGCCUGUGACGAAGCGUGAGUGACGGUAAUGGGUAAAGAAGCACCGGCUAACUACGUG
Molecule: ribosomal RNA, 468 nt
Filed under: uncultured bacterium
Lineage: Bacteria
Description: partial 16S ribosomal RNA
Rfam family: Bacterial small subunit ribosomal RNA
Source: RNAcentral